AGCGGAAACGAUGCCUAGCUUGCUAGGAGGCGUCGAGCGGCGGACGGGUGAGUAAUGCAUAGGAAUCUGCCCGGUAGUGGGGGAUAACUUGAGGAAACUCAAGCUAAUACCGCAUACGCCCUACGGGGGAAAGCAGGGGAUCUUCGGACCUUGCGCUAUCGGAUGAGCUUAUGUCGGAUUAGCUGGUUGGUGAGGUAACGGCUCACCAAGGCGACGAUCCGUAGCUGGUCUGAGAGGAUGAUCAGCCACAUCGGGACUGAGACACGGCCCGAACUCCUACGGGAGGCAGCAGUGGGGAAUAUUGGACAAUGGGGGCAACCCUGAUCCAGCCAUGCCGCGUGUGUGAAGAAGGCCCUCGGGUUGUAAAGCACUUUCAGCGAGGAAGAAUGCUUGUCGGUUAAUACCCGGCAAGGGAGACAUCACUCGCAGAAGAAGCACCGGCUAACUCCGUGCCAGCAGCCGCGGUAAUACGGAGGGUGCGAGCGUUAUCGGAAUUACUGGGCGUAAAGCGUGCGUAGGCGGCUUGAUAAGCCGGUUGUGAAAGCCCCGGGCUCAACCUGGGAACGGCAUCCGGAACUGUUAGGCUAGAGUGCAGGGAGGAAGGUAGAAUUCCCGGUGUAGCGGUGAAAUGCGUAGAGAUCGGGAGGAAUACCAGUGGCGAAGGCGGCCUUCUGGACUGACACUGACGCUGAGGUACG
RNAcentral lists this ribosomal RNA (698 nucleotides) under Halomonas elongata. RNAcentral's name for it is "bacterial SSU rRNA". It matches the Rfam family "Bacterial small subunit ribosomal RNA", at positions 65 to 755 of the family's 1533-position model. The record is from RNAcentral. Lineage: Bacteria; Pseudomonadati; Pseudomonadota; Gammaproteobacteria; Oceanospirillales; Halomonadaceae.